UAGCGAAAUUCCUUGUCGGGCAAGUUCCGACCUGCACGAAUGGCAUAAUGAUGGCCACACUGUCUCCUCCUGAGACUCAGUGAAGUUGAAAUGUUUGUGAUGAUGCAAUCUCCCCGCGGCUAGACGGAAAGACCCCAUGAACCUUUACUGCAGCUUUGCAUUGGACUUUGAACCGAUCUGUGUAGGAUAGGUGGGAGGCAGUGAAGCUAGGACGCCAGUCUUAGCGGAGCCAACCUUGAAAUACCACCCUGAUUUGUUUGAGGUUCUAACCUAGGAGCGUAAUCCGCUUCGGGGACCGUGCAUGGUAGGCAGUUUGACUGGGGCGGUCUCCUCCUAAAGGGUAACGGAGGAGUGCGAAGGUACGCUAGGUACGGUCGGAAAUCGUGCUGAUAGUGCAAUGGCAAAAGCGUGCUUGACUGCGAGACCGACAAGUCGAGCAGAUACGAAAGUAGGUCAUAGUGAUCCGGUGGCUCUGCAUGGAAGGGCCAUCGCUCAACGGAUAAAAGGUACUCUGGGGAUAACAGGCUGAUACCGCCCAAGAGUUCAUAUCGACGGCGGUGUUUGGCACCUCGAUGUCGGCUCAUCUCAUCCUGGGGCUGUAGCCGGUCCCAAGGGUAUGGCUGUUCGCCAUUUAAAGAGGUACGUGAGCUGGGUUUAAAACGUCGUGAGACAGUUUUGUCCCUAUCUGCCGUGGGCGUUGGAAGAUUGACGGGGGCUGCUCCUAGUACGAGAGGACCGGAGUGGACUCACCUCUGGUGUACCGGUUGUCACGCCAGUGGCAUCGCCGGGUAGCUAUGUGGGGAAAGGAUAACCGCUGAAAGCAUCUAAGCGGGAAACCUGCCUGAAGAUAAGUCUUCCUGGAGGCUUUGACCUCCCUGAAGAGUCGUUCGAGACCAGGACGUUGAUAGGUUGGAUGUGCAAGCGCUGUGAGGCGUUGAGCUGACCAAUACUAAUUGCUCGUGAAGCUUGAUCCU
Molecule: ribosomal RNA, 974 nt
Filed under: human gut metagenome
Description: bacterial LSU rRNA
Rfam family: Bacterial large subunit ribosomal RNA
Source: RNAcentral